Molecule: ribosomal RNA, 440 nt
Filed under: uncultured bacterium
Lineage: Bacteria
Description: partial 16S ribosomal RNA
Rfam family: Bacterial small subunit ribosomal RNA
Source: RNAcentral
CCUACGGGAGGCAGCAGUGGGGAAUAUUGCACAAUGGGGGAAACCCUGAUGCAGCGACGCCGCGUGAGUGAAGAAGUAUUUCUUUAUGUAAAGCUCUAUCAGCAGGGAAGAAAAUGACGGUACCUGAGUAAGAAGCCCCGGCUAACUAAGUGCCAGCAUCCGCGGUAAUACGUAGGGGGCAAGCGUUAUCCGGAUUUACUGGGUGUAAAGGGAGCGUAGACGGCAGUGCAAGUCUGGAGUGAAAGGCGGGGGCUCAACCCCCGGACUGCUCUGGAAACUGUACGGCUGGAGUGCAGGAGAGGUAAGUGGAAUUCCUAGUGUAGCGGUGAAAUGCGUAGAUAUUAGGAGGAACACCAGUGGCGAAGGCGGCUUACUGGACGGUAACUGACGUUGAGGCUCGAAAGCGUGGGGAGCAAACAGGAUUAGAUACCCUGGUAGUC